GACUCUCUGUAAUGGAUAUCUCAGCUCUCAUAUCGAUGAAGAAUGUAGCAAAAUGUGAUACUUGGUGUGAAUUGCAAAAUCCCUUGAACCAUUGCGUCUUUGAACGUAAGUUGUACCUAAAGCCACUAGGCCUAGGGCACGUCUGCCAGGGUAUCA
Neltuma alba is the source of this 156-nucleotide ribosomal RNA. RefSeq annotates it as 5.8S ribosomal RNA. The transcript has a single exon. The record is from RefSeq and is a predicted model, not a curated record. NCBI's taxonomy places the organism in Eukaryota, Viridiplantae, Streptophyta, Magnoliopsida, Fabales, Fabaceae.